CACCCUUUUCUGCAAUGCAAGUUCUGAUUGCUGAAGUGUUUUCGAAAACGGAAGCGUGGUGUUCUAAGAAAUGGACAAUAACGAUCUGAAGACGUAUGAAUAUGAAAUCUGCUCUUUAGAGAAUGAAAUUAAGAAGUUAACAGAAGAGUAUGAACGCAGGCAACAUGAGGCAAUGGCUUAUUCUGAUGGGGAGAUAAUGAAGACAGUGAAAUCAUUGAAAAGAAAAUCCCCAGAAGAACCAAAGCAAUGUGACUCUUUUCCAGCCUUGAAACAUCAGCUUGAUUUAUUGGAGUCUGAUCUCUCAUUCAUAAUGAAAUUUACAGGCAUUUGUCUUACACAUUAUACUAGAAAACUUGUGGAGCAAAGU
This 367-nucleotide long non-coding RNA is filed under the name Salvator merianae (Argentine black and white tegu). RNAcentral's name for it is "lncRNA (ENSSMRG00000014852.1)". The record is from RNAcentral. Lineage: Eukaryota; Metazoa; Chordata; Lepidosauria; Squamata; Teiidae.